AGAGCGAACGCUGGCGGCAGGCCUAACACAUGCAAGUCGAACGGAUCCUUCGGGAUUAGUGGCGGACGGGUGAGUAACACGUGGGAACGUGCCUUUUGGUUCGGAACAACUCAGGGAAACUUGAGCUAAUACCGGAUGUGCCCUUCGGGGGAAAGAUUUAUCGCCAUUAGAGCGGCCCGCGUCUGAUUAGCUAGUUGGUAGGUAAAGGCCUACAAGGCUACGAUCAGUAGCUGGUCUGAGAGGAUGAUCAGCCACAUUGGGACUGAGACACGGCCCAAACUCCUACGGGAGGCAGCAGUGGGAAU
Molecule: ribosomal RNA, 305 nt
Filed under: uncultured soil bacterium
Lineage: Bacteria
Description: bacterial SSU rRNA
Rfam family: Bacterial small subunit ribosomal RNA
Source: RNAcentral